AAGGAAUUAGCUCAACGGUAGAGCUACCGUUUUACACACGGUGGGUUAGGUGUUCAAAUCACCUAUUCCUUA
Non-coding RNA from Lasallia pustulata, 72 nucleotides. NCBI's taxonomy places the organism in Eukaryota, Fungi, Ascomycota, Lecanoromycetes, Umbilicariales, Umbilicariaceae. The record is from Rfam.